RNAcentral lists this unclassified non-coding RNA (200 nucleotides) under soil metagenome. Its description in RNAcentral is "partial contains internal transcribed spacer 2 and large subunit ribosomal RNA". The record is from RNAcentral.
AAUGGUUGGAUGUGGGGGUUUGCUGGCCUCUUUAAAAAGGGUUCAGCUCCCCUGAAAUGCAUUAGCAGAACGGACCUGUUCAUUGGUGUGAUAACUAUCUACGCUAUUGAAUGUGAGGGGCAGUUCAGCUUUCUAACAGUCCUUGGACAAUUUCAUCAUUAAUGUGACCUCAAAUCAGGUAGGACUACCCGCUGACUUAA